GGACUGCCCCCUUGCCGCAAGGAGCGCUCGGCUCGCCCCGCCGCGGACUCCGAGAGGCCGCUCACUACCAGAGCCGGCGCCUCACCGCCGACCCUUAUAGGUGUACGGCGAGCAGUUGCCGCCCUGUGUGGCCGCCUGGGCUGUCAGUCAGUCGGCAGCCAUUCACGGGGCAGGAGGACGGCGCUGAGGGAGGCGGCGCCACCGCCAAGAGGCGUCGAGGCACCUCGGCUCACCUGCCGCCGGCACGGCGCGGCGCGGCUCAGCGCGGGGCGGGGCGCUAUAGAGAGCCGCCCGCCCGAGGGCUGGGGGUCGCGAGCGGGGGCUGCCCCGCGGGGCCGCGCGGGGAGUGUGGCAGCGACACCUGCCGGCCGGGCGCGGGGCGGCCGAGUUCCGGCGGGCAGCGGCCGUUAAGCUGAGGCGGGCGCGGGGCGGUGAAAGCGUCGGUGCUGAGGAGGGACGGGAGGAGCCCGGCGCUGAGUGGGAAGGAGGCUGCGGCUCGAUCCGGAGCGCGUGGGCUGCUGCCUGGCGUGGCUGUGCGGCGCUGCGGGCAGCGGUGUGCGCGCUGACCUGCGUGGCGUGGGCUGGAGUCGAGCCGCCCUGGCCCAUCGCUUGGGGCUUCUUCCUGCUGUCACUUCAGACCUGCUCUCAAACAGCCACCAUGUCCAGCCAAGCCCACAACAAGAUACAGAUUUCAAGUCAUUGCAAAUGUGCAUCUGCUUACAGCUUUGUAAAGCCUAUGCUGCAGUACUCAAAAGCCUGCCACUUGCCACCCACAUCCAGGAGACUGCAGUGGAACUGCUUCAGCCCAUCCACCAGUAGGGAUACAACAGAAUUGGACCACUGUCCUGCACAUCUGAGUUGUUGGAACCAUCGUGGUUGUUGCAAGCACAAUGCCAGUACAUGAAGGAGCUCGAAUGAUUGCAUUACCUAUUGAGCCAGAAUCUCCAUGUAGAUAUUGCAUGAGCUCAACCUCAGUCUAAUUACAGUGCAGAAAAAAUAGCAGUGCAAAAUGUUAGCAGUUUUUAACAGAUUAGAGCAACUGUAACCUACUUUCUCCAAAUAAAGCCUAUGUACAAGAUCUUGGUUUAUCUGAA
RNAcentral lists this long non-coding RNA (1094 nucleotides) under Numida meleagris (helmeted guineafowl). RNAcentral describes it as "lncRNA (ENSNMEG00000009279.1)". The record is from RNAcentral. Lineage: Eukaryota; Metazoa; Chordata; Aves; Galliformes; Numididae.